Molecule: ribosomal RNA, 234 nt
Filed under: uncultured bacterium
Lineage: Bacteria
Description: partial 16S ribosomal RNA
Rfam family: Bacterial small subunit ribosomal RNA
Source: RNAcentral
UACAGAGGUCUCAAGCGUUGUUCGGAUUCAUUGGGCGUAAAGGGUGCGUAGGUGGCGCGGUAAGUCGGGUGUGAAAUUUCGGAGCUUAACUCCGAAACUGCAUUCGAUACUGCCGUGCUUGAGGACUGGAGAGGAGACUGGAAUUUACGGUGUAGCAGUGAAAUGCGUAGAGAUCGUAAGGAAGACCAGUGGCGAAGGCGGGUCUCUGGACAGUUCCUGACACUGAGGCACGAA